RNAcentral lists this long non-coding RNA (1034 nucleotides) under Fukomys damarensis (Damara mole-rat). RNAcentral's name for it is "lncRNA (ENSFDAG00000027355.1)". Lineage: Eukaryota; Metazoa; Chordata; Mammalia; Rodentia; Bathyergidae. The record is from RNAcentral.
GACCGGACUAUGAACUCCUGGAAAGUUCUAUCAGGGCUCAGAACACGAGCUCACCACUUCCACCCGCCUAAACUUAGCUGUCACCCAGUCCUCCCUCCCCGCACACAGCAUGGCAUUGUUAAAAAUAAAAAUUAAAAGAUUGGCCAAAGGGUGAAAAGCAGGCAAUGCCUUUCAGGGCUGCCACGAUCCCUGUCUGGGAUUGGGGGAGGGGGAGGGGCAUUCUGGAUGUUUCUAUUCUUGGCAAGGAAGGCACCUCCAGGUCCUGAACCAUCAAAAGGCACUAACACAGUAACGCUACCGUUCUCGGGAAUGAAUGAUAUGUCUAAGCUAAGGAAUCUCCCAGCGGCGCAUGAUGAUGCGCAGGCGCUCAAGCUGUCUAAAGAAGUCGUGAUUGCCCGACCGGGUACCAACGUCCUUCACUAAGAAAACUCAAAACAUUUUAAACCUGGCAAGGUCUCACUCUACUAUACUCUUAAGUGAAAUAAAUCCAACAGACACACAUGUUUAAAUACCACAUUGUUUCUCUGGUGUGAGAAACCAAAAGUGGAAAUAAAGACUAAAAUGUACAAUUGAUAUUGGAAAAUGGUAAGAAAAUGUUGAAAUGGGAAGAGGAACAAGGGGGGAGAGAGGAAGGAAGGGAUAAGAAAAAAAGUGAAAAUAGAAGAAAAAAUGGAAACAAAGGUUUUGUACAUAGGGAGGGAAGGAGACUUGAAGGGGGGGUAAAAUAAAAUUAUUUUUUAAAAUAAAAAACAAAAUAAAGAAAAGAACAACAUUGCUUUGCAAGUCUAAAAAAUUUUUUUAAAUAAAAAGGUCUCACUCUAAUUCAGGAUGGUCUUGAACUCACUAUGUUUCCUAGACAGGCCUCAAACUCAUGAUGAUCCUCCUGCCUCAGCCUCCUGAGUGCUAGAAUUACAGGCUUACACCACCACAACCAGCUUUUGACAAUCUUGUAUCAGAUAUUAAUAUUAAACUUAUGAACAAUUUUUAAAAUUUGCCUCAUUUUGCCCAAAAUAUGUCAUUAUACAGUUAUUUCC